RNAcentral lists this ribosomal RNA (2163 nucleotides) under Salmonella enterica. RNAcentral's name for it is "partial 23S ribosomal RNA". It matches the Rfam family "Bacterial large subunit ribosomal RNA", at positions 658 to 2802 of the family's 2925-position model. Lineage: Bacteria; Pseudomonadati; Pseudomonadota; Gammaproteobacteria; Enterobacterales; Enterobacteriaceae. The record is from RNAcentral.
UAGGGGAGCCGGAGGGAAACCGAGUCUUAAUUGGGCGUUAAGUUGCAGGGUAUAGACCCGAAACCCGGUGAUCUAGCCAUGGGCAGGUUGAAGGUUGGGUAACACUAACUGGAGGACCGAACCGACUAAUGUUGAAAAAUUAGCGGAUGACCUGUGGCUGGGGGUGAAAGGCCAAUCAAACCGGGAGAUAGCUGGUUCUCCCCGAAAGCUAUUUAGGUAGCGCCUCGUGAAUUCAUCUCCGGGGGUAGAGCACUGUUUCGGCUAGGGGGCCAUCCCGGCUUACCAACCCGAUGCAAACUGCGAAUACCGGAGAAUGUUAUCACGGGAGACACACGGCGGGUGCUAACGUCCGUCGUGAAGAGGGAAACAACCCAGACCGCCAGCUAAGGUCCCAAAGUCAUGGUUAAGUGGGAAACGAUGUGGGAAGGCCCAGACAGCCAGGAUGUUGGCUUAGAAGCAGCCAUCAUUUAAAGAAAGCGUAAUAGCUCACUGGUCGAGUCGGCCUGCGCGGAAGAUGUAACGGGGCUAAACCAUGCACCGAAGCUGCGGCAGCGACACUGUGUGUUGUUGGGUAGGGGAGCGUUCUGUAAGCCUGUGAAGGUGUGUCGUGAGGCAUGCUGGAGGUAUCAGAAGUGCGAAUGCUGACAUAAGUAACGAUAAAGCGGGUGAAAAGCCCGCUCGCCGGAAGACCAAGGGUUCCUGUCCAACGUUAAUCGGGGCAGGGUGAGUCGACCCCUAAGGCGAGGCCGAAAGGCGUAGUCGAUGGGAAACGGGUUAAUAUUCCCGUACUUGGUGUUACUGCGAAGGGGGGACGGAGAAGGCUAUGUUGGCCGGGCGACGGUUGUCCCGGUUUAAGCGUGUAGGUGUGUGUUCCAGGUAAAUCCGGUUCACUUUAACACUGAGGCGUGACGACGAGGCACUACGGUGCUGAAGCAACAAAUGCCCUGCUUCCAGGAAAAGCCUCUAAGCAUCAGGUAACAUCAAAUCGUACCCCAAACCGACACAGGUGGUCAGGUAGAGAAUACCAAGGCGCUUGAGAGAACUCGGGUGAAGGAACUAGGCAAAAUGGUGCCGUAACUUCGGGAGAAGGCACGCUGACACGUAGGUGAAGUGAUUUACUCAUGGAGCUGAAGUCAGUCGAAGAUACCAGCUGGCUGCAACUGUUUAUUAAAAACACAGCACUGUGCAAACACGAAAGUGGACGUAUACGGUGUGACGCCUGCCCGGUGCCGGAAGGUUAAUUGAUGGGGUCAGCGCAAGCGAAGCUCCUGAUCGAAGCCCCGGUAAACGGCGGCCGUAACUAUAACGGUCCUAAGGUAGCGAAAUUCCUUGUCGGGUAAGUUCCGACCUGCACGAAUGGCGUAAUGAUGGCCAGGCUGUCUCCACCCGAGACUCAGUGAAAUUGAACUCGCUGUGAAGAUGCAGUGUACCCGCGGCAAGACGGAAAGACCCCGUGAACCUUUACUAUAGCUUGACACUGAACAUUGAGCCUUGAUGUGUAGGAUAGGUGGGAGGCUUUGAAGUGUGGACGCCAGUCUGCAUGGAGCCGACCUUGAAAUACCACCCUUUAAUGUUUGAUGUUCUAACGUGGACCCGUUACCCGGGUUGCGGACAGUGUCUGGUGGGUAGUUUGACUGGGGCGGUCUCCUCCUAAAGAGUAACGGAGGAGCACGAAGGUUGGCUAAUCCUGGUCGGACAUCAGGAGGUUAGUGCAAUGGCAUAAGCCAGCUUGACUGCGAGCGUGACGGCGCGAGCAGGUGCGAAAGCAGGUCAUAGUGAUCCGGUGGUUCUGAAUGGAAGGGCCAUCGCUCAACGGAUAAAAGGUACUCCGGGGAUAACAGGCUGAUACCGCCCAAGAGUUCAUAUCGACGGCGGUGUUUGGCACCUCGAUGUCGGCUCAUCACAUCCUGGGGCUGAAGUAGGUCCCAAGGGUAUGGCUGUUCGCCAUUUAAAGUGGUACGCGAGCUGGGUUUAGAACGUCGUGAGACAGUUCGGUCCCUAUCUGCCGUGGGCGCUGGAGAACUGAGGGGGGCUGCUCCUAGUACGAGAGGACCGGAGUGGACGCAUCACUGGUGUUCGGGUUGUCAUGCCAAUGGCACUGCCCGGUAGCUAAAUGCGGAAGAGAUAAGUGCUGAAAGCAUCUAAGCACGAAACUUGCCCCGA